GUAUUGUAUUGCGUUAAACGCGGCAAACAUUCCAUAAGACUUCACUACGGUGUAUGUAUAAAGACGCAGAACCACAGGGAAGAGGACGGCAAGUCCUCCAGACCAUAGAACUACGGUGGGUGCACAGGUGUGAGUGGAUGUGUGAACAGAGCGUGCACAUGCCCCCUUGUUUUGAGGACCAGCAACAGCUCGUGUCGACAACUCAGUAAUGAUCCUUCCGCAGGUUCACCUACGGAAA
RNAcentral lists this unclassified non-coding RNA (238 nucleotides) under uncultured fungus. RNAcentral's name for it is "sequence contains ITS1". The record is from RNAcentral. Lineage: Eukaryota; Fungi.